This 1518-nucleotide unclassified non-coding RNA is filed under the name Hevea brasiliensis (rubber tree). The record is from RNAcentral. Lineage: Eukaryota; Viridiplantae; Streptophyta; Magnoliopsida; Malpighiales; Euphorbiaceae.
AACUUGAUACAGUAGAUAAGGGUUAAGGCCUGAAAAACAAUACUGCAGGUCUUCCCUAAGAGCCUAGAAUCCAACCAGCUAAACCUAACCCUAAAACCUUUUUUUUCCGAAAACCUUAAAGACCCGAAGUCAUGAUUCCCAAUUUUGUCACGCCGUACCAUCGGAAUCAACUAGAAAAGGUCGCCAGAGACUAGAAUCUAUCAAUGCCAUGGAGAAGUUUUUGAAUCUGCCGAUGGAGAAGUGUCGCACCAAUGGGGCCCAUGGUUGAAGGCUCCGACAAAGCUAUUCAAUGGCUUCGGCGACCGUUGGUUGAGAGACGGCAAUGGAAUGGAAAGUCCUUUGUUUGCAGCUAAGAUUUUGUCGGUGGGUGGGGGAGGGUUGGCCAAAUGCAGAGAGAUCAAUAGGCUAUUGUUUGGGGAUUUAAUUUUGGAUCUCAUUCCUCUACUACGAGGGGAAAAGGGCAUUUGAUGCAAAAGCCCAAAAUUAUCGAUUUUGCUAAUAUGGGAAAGAUCUCGAGUGGAACAUCGAAUCUUGGAAAAGCAGUCAAUAUCAAUGUGGGCUCGGAUGUCAUUAUGGACUAAGAUGAGAUUUGUGUAUUGGGGCAGAAUAUGGACCUAAAUACAGAGUUACUAGGUUGCAGGAAAUGGGCCAGGAGGACACCAUUACGAAAUUGGACGAAAAUAAGAAAAGAUAAUGUGCACCCUCACCAAAUCCACUUAGGAUUUGUAUCAGGUGAGUCUUUAGCCAUGCAAACUUCUCAACUUGAUCAUAUUCCAAUGGCGGGACCCAGUCAUCAGGCUUGCCAGGCCUGCCGAAAGUCAUGAAUCGCUUAAGUUGGAAUUGUUGAGAGCUGGGCACCCCUCAUGCAGUGCUUUCUCUUAAAGAGCUUUUUAAAAGUUACAAGCUUAAUAUUGUCUUUCUUAUUGAAACUCUGGCGCACUCUAAUAAGAUUAAAGAAAUAAAAGUGCAUUUUGGUUUUAAUGGUUAUGUUGCUAUUGACCGUUUGGGUCGUUCUAGUGGUUUAGCUGCUUUGUGGAAAGAUAAUAAUGUUGUGCAUGUUUUGAGUUACUCCUAGAAUUAUAUUGAUUUGGUUGUGUCUUUAACAAUAGCCACUGUCGUUUUACUUGUUUUUACGGCUAUCCUGAGUGCAGUAGGUGUGUUGAAUCUUGGAAUCUUCUUAGAAUGGGAAUUUCAAAAAGAAAAUUGAGCUUUUAAAAAAGUAAUGUAGCUCAUUCAGGUACUAUUCUGAAUUCUCUUCGGGAGGAGUUGAAUAGUCUAUUAUCUCAAGAGGAAAUAUUCUAGAAGCAGUGUGACUUUUUGGCUCCAGGAUCACCAGGUUAUUCCAUGCUCAAGCUUCCUCUAGGAAAAGAUAAAAUCACAUUCUGAGUCUGCAAAAUGAUAAUGGUGGGUGGGUGGAUGAUCAGGAAGGACUUAAUAGGUUGGUGACUUCCUAUUUGGUAAUCUUCUCUCUUCAAUUGAUGGUAAUUAUUGUUACAAUGGCUUGUGAUUGCCUGGUAA